GUUUCCCUACGGGGCGCAGCAGUGGGGGAUAUUGCACAAUGGGGGAAACCCUGAUGCAGCGACGCCGCGUGUGGGAAGACGGUCCUCUGGAUUGUAAACCACUGUCCCCAGGGACGAAGAUGACGGUACCUGACCAAGAAGCCCCGGCUAACUACGUGCCAGCAGCCGCGGUAAUACGUAGGGGGCAAGCGUUAUCCGGAUUUACUGGGUGUAAAGGGGGCGCAGACGGCGAUGCAAGCCGGGAGUGA
This 248-nucleotide ribosomal RNA is filed under the name uncultured bacterium. RNAcentral's name for it is "partial 16S ribosomal RNA". It matches the Rfam family "Bacterial small subunit ribosomal RNA", at positions 333 to 597 of the family's 1533-position model. The record is from RNAcentral.